This 21588-nucleotide long non-coding RNA is filed under the name Podarcis lilfordi (Lilford's wall lizard). The record is from RNAcentral. Lineage: Eukaryota; Metazoa; Chordata; Lepidosauria; Squamata; Lacertidae.
GUGCUUUGUUCAUUUUUUAUUUGCCAGGAAAUGACUGGCAUCUAUCUGUGUCAGAGGCAACAAUUAUGAGGCUCAUGAGAUGGGGAACUUGUGGCCCUCCAGAUGUUGCAGGACUCCAGCUCCCAUCAACCCUGACCUUUGACCCUGCUGUCUGGGGUUCUUGGGAGGUGGAAUCCAACAAUAUCUGGAAGUUUCCCCACCCCUGAUAUAGAAUCACUAAGAUCCGAUUAGAAUUAAGAAUUAAUAUAAGCAUUGUUCCAGACUUCUGAGCAACUGUUUCCUAGGAAAAGUUCCUGAACCGAUCCUCCUUGCCUCAUCUGCUCCGGAACCAAGAUUCCCAGCUACCCCAGGCCUCAGCAGUCUGUUGGUGAGCUUGGCCAAGACAUGACAAAACUAAGGCAAAGCAGAAAACAUGACAGACUUAGUCAAGCACGGCUAAGCAAAGGAUAAGCAGCACUCAUACUGGAACAAGGCAAGAACAUGUCAGGAGGGCAACAGGUUUUUAUUUUGCUGUUUUGAGAUUUCCGUCUCAUACCAGCUACUCCACAGGAGAGUCUCAAUGCGUUAAUACCACUGAGAUGGUUGAUAUUGUGGGAGGCAAUCUUUCAGUACUUGGGCCCCAGGCCAUUUAGGAAUUUGGGCCCAGUAACUCACUGGCAGCUAGUGUAGUGUUUUCAAGACUACUGUUCCCAUAAAGCUGUUCCACUCACCAAGUUGGUAGCUGCGUUCUACACUAGCUGCAAUUUCCAGACCAUCUUCAAGGACUGCCCCACGUACAGCACAUUGCAGUUGUCUAGAUGGGAGAGCACUAGAGCAAUGGCUAAUGAGACCAGCUGCCCCAGUGCAGGAAUGGUUGCCGAUGGUGAACCAGCCUAAGCUUGGACAUAAACAGAAUCCACUUGGCAUGCCAGUGGCAGAAUGGAAUCGAGGGGCUCUGCCAGACUACGAACUUGUUUCUCAACAGGGAGUGCAAUGCCUCACAGAGGUCAUCCACCUAAUGAGAACCACCUGGGGAGAAGCACCUCUGCCUUAUCAGGAUUCAGCCUCUGUUUAUUGGCUCCCAUCUCAUGUAUGUUCAGAAACCCAAACCUUUGUCAGCUAAAAUCCAGCUUAAAUUCCCCUUCUAUCUAUCAGAACAUUCCUUUACUAUUUGGUCAGCCAAAUAGCAGAAAAGCAAUAAGAUAAAUAUGGUUAAGAAGCCAAAGAGGCUUGAGGCUAGUCUGAUGCUCUUUGAAUCUAACUUCUCAUCCACCAUGUGAUCCAAGGAUAUGCUAUCUUAAGAAUUUUGUGCUGUACAGUGUUAGAGAAUUAGAGCUGUUCUCAAACUUUCCAUAAGAACAGACACUGCAACUUACUAAUGGAUCGCAGUGGUUUAUUUUACUAUAAAACACCACUUAUCACUAAUGCAAAGAAUUACAGGGGUCCUUCUCAGGCUGCCUCUGGAAGGUGGAUGGCUUCUCCCAUAAUUAUUAAUUCUUCAUUCCCCAAUACACCUUUUACCAUAUUUUGGACAAUCAAAUUUAUGGUUGUUUUUAAGACAACAAGGAUUUAUUCUUGCUCAGAACAAUAGCCCCAGAGAAUCAUUUCCCAAUUUGUCAAAACUGGCAAAGAAACAUUUUAUCAGGGUUUUUUCUUUGGUUUCAAAAAAUAAUCUUUGUAUAUAUCACAUCAGUCAUGUUUCAUUAAUGAUUAUCUACUAUGAGUCAAUAUGGUUAAGAAAUUUCCUCUCCAUGUAUGUGCCAAAUGCUGGUGGCAAGUCUGAAAAAACAAGACCCUCUUUUCCAGUGGCUCUAGCUAGGUGCAAGCAAUUUAGCUGCAGCUCCUGAUCCAAAAGACCAAAGACCAGGACACAAUAAAAUCCAAAUACUCUCCAAACAAAAUUAUAGGCACGUGAGGUAAAAAAACAUCUUUAGACCCGGCCAAUUUGGCCAAAUAUCGCCCAAUCUCAAAUCUGCCAUUCUUGGGCAAGGUGAUUGAGCGGGUGGUUGCUGAACAACUCCAAGCACGCCUGGAGGAAACGGACCUUUUGGAUCCCUUCCAAUCGGGAUUCAGGCCUCACCAUGGGACUGAAACUGCCUUGGUCACGCUGGUUGAUGAUCUCUGGCGGGCUAGGGACAAAGGUGAGAGCUGUUUCCUAGUUCUGCUGGAUCUCUCAGCGGCCUUUGACACCAUCCACCAUAACAUCCUUCUGGACCGUCUAGAGGGGCUGGGAGCUGGGGGCACUGUCAUACAGUGGUUCCGCUCCUUCCUCCUGGGCUGUGUCCAGAAAGUGGUGGUGGGGGAUGAGUGUUCAGAUCCCUGGGCUCUCACUUGUGGGGUGCCUCAGGGUUCUGUCCUCUCCCCCAUGCUUUUUAAUAUCUAUAUGAAGCCGCUGGGAGAGAUCAUCAGGGGGUUUGGACUGGGUGUUCAUCAGUAUGCAGAUGACACCCAGCUCUACCUCUCCUUUAAAUCAGAACCAGUGAAGGCGGUGAAGGUCCUGUGUGAGUGCCUGGAGGCGGUUGGAGGAUGGAUGGCGGCUAACAGAUUGAAGUUGAAUCCUGACAAGACAGAAGUACUGUUUUUGGGGGACAGGGAGCGGGUUAGUGUGGGGGAUUCCCUGGUCUUGAAUGGGGUAACUGUGCCCCUGAAGGACCAGGUGCGCAGCCUGGGAGUCAUUUUGGACUCACAGCUGUCCAUGGAGGCGCAGGUUAACUCUGUGUCCAGGGCAGCUGUCUACCAGCUCCACCUGGUACGCAGGCUAAGACCCUACCUGCCCGCGAACUGUCUCACCAGAGUGGUGCAUGCUCUAGUUAUCUCACGCUUGGACUACUGCAACGCGCUCUACGUGGGGCUACCUUUGAAGGUGACCCGGAAACUGCAAUUAAUCCAGAAUGCGGCAGCUAGACUGGUGACCGGGAGUGGCCGCCGGGACCACAUAACACCGGUUCUGAGAGAUCUGCAUUGGCUCCCAGUACGUUUCCGAGCACGAUUCAAAGUGUUGGUGCUGACCUUUAAAGCCCUAAACGGCCUCGGUCCUGUAUACCUGAAGGAGCGUCUCCACCCCCAUUGUUCAGCCCGGACACUGAGAUCCAGCGCCGAGGGCCUUCUGGCGGUUCCCUCAUUGCGAGAAGUGAGGCUACAGGGAACCAGACAGAGGGCCUUCUCGGUAGUGGCGCCCGCCCUGUGGAACGCCCUCCCAUCAGAUGUCAAAGAGAUAAAUAAUUACCCGACAUUCAGAAGACAACUUAAGGCAGCCCUGUUCAGGGAAGUUUUUAAUAUGUAACGCUGUACUGUUUUUAACACUGAUUGGGAGCCGCCCAGAGUGGCUGGGGAAACUCAGCCAGAUGGGCGGGGUAUAAAUAAUAAAUUAAUAUUAUUAUAUUAUUAUAUAUUUUACUAAGACGCUUUGUUAAAAUGAAGAGGGUUUUCUGAGGUGUUGCCACAGCAUGCUGCUGCUGACACAGGAAACUUCUUUAAAAGCAGGCAUGUCCAACAGGUAGAUGAUCUACCAGUAGAUCACUGGAUGUCUGUGGUAGAUCACCAGUAGAUCAGUGGCUCCCUCCAAAGAAGCUAAAAAACUUUGGCUCCCCUAAAAAAAGCUCAACAUCUUUGCCCUGCACCCCUAAAAAGGGAGUAGAUCACUGCCAGUUUUUAACUCUGUGAGUAGAUCGUAGUCUAUUGGAAGUUGGCCACCCCUGUUUAAAAGCAGAGUAAAGUCUUUACAAAACUUUCAUGCUGAGUCUGUACUGCUGUUACUCUCUGACACUGUCUCUUUGAGGUACAGAUCUUCUUGCAGACUCUCUAUCUGCAGUUGCAACCCUGAUUUCUUUUAUGCAGGCUCCCAGCACAGGUCCAGACCCCCCAGCUUAAUUCUCACCCUUCUUGCAUUCCACUUCCCCAUGCUUACUCUUUCACACAAACCUGGCUUGAUGGUGUUCAGCAUCUCAUGCCCCCGCCUUUUCCACUGCCCUUUGUCUCCCACCAUCCUCCCAGAACGAUUUUUGCAGGAGCGGUCCAUAUACUCUUCUGCUGCCAUGGCAAGUCCUCUUAGGAAACUCUAGAUAGCACCUCGAGCUCCAAUCUGAAAAGGGGAUUGUUCAUCUGACCAGAACACAGAUAAUAUAUUUUCAGGGUGGCUCCAAUACUCAUUCUUAAUAAUUUAUUUAUUGGAUGCCCUGCCCUUCCUCUGCAAGUAGACCAGGGCAGCAUAUAGAUAUAAAAUUUAAAGACCAAAAACAUUCUAAAACAGAUUAAAAUGUUAUAAAAACAAUUAUAAAUAAAAACAUCUAAACACAGUUAUAGUAAAAUACAAUCUAAAAGCAAUUACAAGUAAACAUACUUUCAUCCAAUGAUCCGUAUUCUUCAGCCACCAAGUAUAUGAGUAAGCAGGAAUGUUUUUAAGUUCCUGCUGAUGGAGACAGGCAAGCCACACUAGGGAGGGCAUUCCACAAUCAGCAAACCACCACUGAAAAGAUCCUGUCAUCGGAAAGCAACAUGGGAAUUUGUAUCUCUCCUUCUUCUAGCCAGGCUUCAGGCUUUAAGGAAGGGACUAGCAUGAUAAGGAAGUGUAAUCAUUUUCAACGUUUUCUUUAAUAACAUAUUUUGUGGUCCAGUCUACUUUCCAAUUUACACACAUCUCUCUUGAAUUUGUUAAAAACCCAGCUAUUUCCUACACCAAGGCCAGAGAUGGAAGGCUUCCACAUCAUUCCAACCUGCUAUAACGUACAUCUACUUUAAGAAAAUAAAACAUCACUUGUCCCAUUAAGAAUAUAACUUCUCUGGGGGAGGGUAUUUCCCCCCAGAGUCACCUCCUGGUCCUCAAUUUAGUGUGGCAGGCAGCUUAGCUAGUAGCUUGGCAACAGGGUGACCUUGUGCUCUGUUGGGUUUCAAACGUUUUAUUAGCCACACUGGACUCUCUCCAUCUUUCUCUGCCCUGCUUCUUAUUGCUGAGCCCCUCAUUAGUGCAAUUAAUAAGCCGCUUCUGUCAGGGCAAUCAAAUGCAGGGCUCUACAGCAGCCAAAGGCUUUGGCAGAUCAAGUAGGGGGGAUUCCGGGUCGCACAGUGGAAUUAUAGGGAAGGCUUUCAUCUCUCCCCACAGGCCCAAACAGGACUGGAAUUGUAGGGCUGGGAUUCUCUCAGGUCACGUUUAUUUAAUGCCACUUUUUUGGUAGAAUAAAUCAGUCCCCCCCCCCCUCCGUCAUUUUGGAUAAAGUCACAGGUUCGUUGGAGAACUUGGCAGAACACCCUGAUGUUAUUAGUGAUGGGUUGCACAAAGCCCUAUGCAAGAUAUAGUCUUGGACUCAGCUUCCCUUUGAGAUCUCUCUCUCUCACACACACACACACACACAUGCUCACAUACACACUGAAUGUGUGCGCAACAGGCCUGCUUUGUUGUGGUUCAUACCAGGGCAGGGACUGUAAGGUGUCAUCAACUCACAGUGCCACACAAGCACAUGGGGGUGGGCGGAGCACUAAGGAAUGAUGCACUCAGAUGCUGACCUCAGAUGCCUCUAGGCCAAUAACCCAAAUGUGUCCAACUAACUAACCUACCCCUGGGGAACUAUGGGCAUGCCCAACAUCCUACCAGAUCCUGGGAGCGUUGUGGCCUGAACUCAUUGACGUUAUUUGUUAUCUCUUAAUUCCAGUGAUUCCCCAGAGGAAUCCAAAAAUAAUACAAACUGAACACACACACAGAGAGAGAGAGAGAGGGAGCGCUAAUAAAACGUUUGGGCUGUUCCGGGUUUGUUCUUUUCCAGAGGCCUUGCAAACACCAUUCAGAUGUUGUCUCCGUGUGUUAAUCGGGUAGCCAACAAAUGUUGAACUAUGACUGCCACCAUCCCUGACCAUUGGCCAUACUGGCAGGGGCUGAUGGAAUUGUAGUCCAACAUAAUUUGGAUGACACCAUGUUGACUACUCUUGCAUUAACUAAAUGGAAUAGGAUGGAGCAGAGCUGAGCCCAGUUGGCCCUGCCUCUGUGCAUUAGGUAAGGAGGUGGGGUCAGCAGGAUGCAGUGACAUCAGGGGUGGGGAUAGCAGACAUGCCGCCCUCCCUAGCCUAGCUUAGUUUAGCAUAGAGCAGAAAUUACUCAAGUAGCUACAGUCAAACCCGUACAGUGGUACCUCUGGUUAUGUACUUAAUUCGUUCCGGAGGUCUGUUCUUAACCUGAAACUGUUCUUAAUCUGAGGUACCACUUUAGCUACUGAGGGCUGCCGCCACGCGAUUUCUGUUCUCAUCCUGAAACAAAGUUCUUAACCCGAGGUACUAGUUCUGGGUAAGCGGAGUCUGUAACCUGAAGCGUAUGUAACCUGAAGCAUAUGUAACCCGAGGUACCACUGUAUUUGAAAGGUAUACUAACCCCAUUCCACCCAAAUCAGCAAAAGUGCUGAUCUCCCCAUUCAAGUUGGGGACAAUAUCUAUUUUAAAUUGAUCCACAAGGAUCUAUGUAUUAAAGAGCAUGAUGACACAAAUUGUACCUCAAUUUUUUUGGAUGUCACCACACUGGCUGCCUUAAGCAAUUUGGUGAAAAUCAGGGGGCAAUACCUUUCUCUGCCCACCCUUUAGAAAAGAGACUCAAGCAACAGUAACUGCCUUUGUGGUAGGCUGGUUACAGCAUUCAUUACUGUGUGAUCAUGCGAGAGGUAAGGGGGUCACCAACAUUUUAGUUCCGUGGGCAUAUCUGGAUUUUUGAGCAAGUGCCAUAGGAAAACCCCUCUGGUUUCUGCUCACUCCAACCCCCGCAAGAGACAGAAAGAGAGAAAGUACAUGCACGUAUACAGAUUUCGCUUUUUCAAUGGACUAUGUAAAAAUCAGAUCCAGUUGAAUUGAUCUUAGCCCUGAAAAGCACAGUGAGCUGAAAGUGGAAGUGGGAAAGAGCAUCAGUCUUGAACUCCUUCCUUCUACUCAAGGGAGAAAAAAGUAAUACCUUUACCACCUCAUGCGGGGGGGGGGGGAGUAGUGGACCAGCGGGGGGCGGGGCUCAAAGCCUUCAUGGGCACCAGGAGAAGACCUCAAGGAUGGCAGGAUUAAAUAGCUCAGACAUAGAAACAAAAGGAGAGAUGGGCAAAACCAGCAGAGAUUAAACUAAUGUAACAGCAGCAUAGCCAACUGGUGUGCCUCAAUCACAUCUAAAGCAGGUGGUAGGAGUGCAAUUUAAAGUAUCUAUUUAAAGGGGUGCAUAGAUAGGAGCUGAAGCUUCUUCAUACCAUUGAUGCACCUAUUUUUUCUCCUGAGUGGAGAUGGAAAGUGGCCCACAUGCCACUUUAAAUUGCAGUGCAGGUGAUUAGGAAGAUGCUCAUUUGAAAACACAGCUCUCCCUUCAUUGCGUGUAAGUUGGUCCCAAGUCAACUAGAAAAGAGAAGGCAACAGGGAAAUGUGCCUCUCAUUCUGCUGAAAGCUCAGGGUCUCCUGUCACAAGUUAUCACAAGUUAUCUCCUCCCUACGAUUGAUGCACAACAGACUCUUUAAGACCCCAUGCUGAUUUAAACAGCCUUGUGCAUUUCAAAGACUGGUAUAGUUUUAACUAGAUUUUUUUUCUGAAGGAAAUAGAGCAAUAAAGCAUGUGAAGAUGUCAAAGACAGGUCUUGGGAUAAAGAAUAAGGGCACAACAAUAAUUGCAUUUAAAUGCUCCCUAAGAAAACAGUCAACAAUCUGUGCUGAGAUCCCCAAAUACAACUAAAAGAACUUCAGGAAGUAAUUUACCCUUAUUUCUGGAUCCAAGUGCUUUUUAAAAAGCUGUGAGUCUGUUCGUACCGUGACCUUAACAGUAAGGCUGGAAGAUCACUGUUAAUACUUUUGUGAAAGAAAUGUAAAGUUGUAAGCAGUGCACCUUGCAAACUGGUCUGAACUUGCUGAUGUCCAGGAGGGAAAAAGUUAAAGCCCAAAGGCCAACUAGCUACUGCAACUUGUAUAAUGUUUAGCAUUUGGGCAAUGAGGAGCAAAGUUUGAUCACACUUGGGUGCAGAGGGGAAAGGAGCAUCCAGCAAAGGCAGAGAAAAUGGAAGAUGAGGCAACCCACUUCUCUUGGGGUCAGUGCUGAGUACUUUGUAAUGUUGCUGUCAGAUGGUCGUCAUCGGUACGAACAGACUCACAGCUUUUGCGUCCAGCUUGUGCCAAGUGUGUGUUUCCUAUGUUUGGCUGAACUUUGCUCUGGCUUUCAAGUUUGUAAAAUAAAAUGGCCUUUGAAUCCUGUUGCAGCUUUAGGACAUUUUUAAACCAAAGGGCCUGACCUUAGCUUAGUACAUCCCUGCUGGCUUCCACAGGGAUACCCUGUGCCCCAGUUGGAGUACAGCCUGUUACUCAGAGGCUUGUGCGGUUCAUGUAUGCAAAGAAACAACAUAUCCUUUGACUUUCUGGCAUAGAACUUCCCAAACUAGAGUUAGCUUUUUGGCAUGUCCAGACAAUGUAUCUGUUGAUCUGUUAUCCUGAUCUGUUUUCAGGAAGAUUAAAUGAUGUCAGCUAUUUAAUGAGCAUUCACUCAGAUUUGUUCAUGUGGAGGCUACACAACAUCGCAUCAAAGCGGGUGCUAUCCUAAGCUUUCCACUGCAUUUUUCUAUCACUUCCUUAUCACAAAAAUCUGAUUUCUGGGGAGGUGGGUUUGUUGUGCAAGAGCUCUAAAUCAGCUUUAAUUGCGCAGUCUAAAUUUGUUAGUAGGCCACUGAAUCCCAUUGAAUCUGAAGGCAUUUUUGACUGAGUACAUAUUACCCUUUAUUCCAGCUCCAGUUCCUUCCUACCUGUGAUGAGAUGAUGAGCUGCUUGUGCAUAAAAUCGUAUCCCUUCAGAGUUUGUUCAAGUCCACAAACCUCUGUCUGUGACGGAGCCCCUCAGACAUGGCCUCUCUAGUCACUAGCAGAUUCCGACAGUGGUUGCUUUCGUAAUCGCUUCCAACAUAAAAGCUCCUUAACGGAAACACGUCUUCUGGACUCUCUGCGUGACAGUUUCCGGCGAGGAGUGGGUGUUCUUACAGGAGGUCCUGAAACCUCCCCACUGUUUUCGCUGGAAGUGUCUCUGAGCCAUCCCUCCAGCUCAGCUCCUCUCCCCCUGCUGGUUCCCUCUUCAGCUGCUGCGUCUCUCCCAACCUGUGUGAGCCCUUUCACCUCCCUGCUGGUUCCCUCUUCAGCUGCUGCGUCUCUCCCAACCUGUGUGAGCCCUUUCACCUCCCUGCUGGUUCCCUCUUCAGCUGCUGCGUCUCUCCCAACCUGUGUGAGCCCUUUCACCUCCCUUCCGUCCGAUGGCAGUUCCCUGACAUCCACCUCCCCUCCAGGGCCCCCUUCACCCCCUCUCGCCCCCUCCUCUACGGGCGGUGAGGAGGCAAAACCCGGAAUGAACUUCCUUCAUCUUCCGAUGUCUCGAACACUUCUCUCAACCUGUUGCGGUUCCUGGUCUCGAAGUACACCUCCUCCUCAGAGUCCAUCUCCCCUUCCCCUUCCGAGUCCGGGAAUCCUUCCAACUCCUCCCCUUCAUCAGUGGUCCCAAAGUAUUCCCUCCGGAACCUCUCCACAGGCUGAGGUUUCCUUGGGAACCUUUGAUGGAACGUUUCUAUCAAUACCUCGUCAUUGAUAUCUUCGGCCAUUACCCAAGUGUUUUCUGACUCCGGUUCUCCUUCCCACGCUACCAAAUACUCCACCUGAUCCCCCUUCCACCUGGCGUCGAGGAUUUCUGCCACAUGGCUGCUGCAUUCUCUUUCUUCUAUGACCGGUCCAGUGGCCAGCCCUUCUCGUCCCCCUUCGUACGGUGACAGUAACGACCUGUGAAAUACUGGGUGCAGUUUCAUGUGGUUGGGUAACCGGAGCCUGAAAGCCACUGGGUUGACCUGUUGAAUGACCUCAAAGGGACCCAACCUCCUGGGUCUUAAUUUCUUACAACCUCCUUUGAACGGCAGCCCUUGGGUUGACAGCCACACCCUAUCUCCCACCCUUAUGGUUUCACCUUCCCUUCGGUUCUUGUCUGCCUGCCUCUUGUAUUCUUCCUUCGCCCUUUCUAAGUUGAGUUGGAGCUGACGAUGGAUUGCUUCCAUUUCUUCCACAAAAUGCUCGGCUGCCGGGACGCUCCAUCUCUCCCCAUCUCCCCCUGGGAAAGCCCUGGGAUGACACCCAUAAUUAGCCAAGAAGGGGCUCAUCCCUGUGGACACAUUCUCGGCAUUGUUGUAGGCAAAUUCCGCCAGCGCCAACUUUUCUACCCAGUCAUUCUCUCUGUCAUUGACAUAACACCUCAGGUAUUGCUGGAGGACACCGUUUGCUCUUUCCGCCUGCCCGUUGGUUUCAGGGUGCCGGGCAGUCGAAAAAUUGACCUCCACCUGCAGUAAGCUCAUGAGCUUCCUCCAGAACCUGGAAGUAAAUUGUUUUCCUCGGUCUGAGACCACCCUCAAUGGCACCCCGUGCAACCUAAAAAUGUGUUCUACAAAUAACUCGCUGUCUCUUCCGCCGUGACUGCAUGCGAGCAAGCUACAAAGUGGCACAUCUUUGUUAGUAGGUCUACCACCACCAUGAUGGCUGUUUUCCCUUUGGACUUCGGCAGAUCAGUCAUAAAAUCUAUCGACACUGCCUCCCAAGGUCGUUCUGGGGUUGGUAAGGGUUCUAAUAGCCCCGCCGGCGCCCGCCUUUCCCCUUUGGCUCUCUGGCAUUGCUUGCACCCUCUUACAUACUCACGUACAUCUUCCCUCACCUUAGGCCACCAAAAUUCCCUGGUGACCAACCACAUGGUUUUGUGUUGUCCAAAAUGCCCCGCCGUAGGGCUGUCGUGCAACUGCUUGAGUACCCUCCCCUUAACUCUCCUUCAGGGAUAUACAGUGCCCCUUUGUAAUACAAAGCUCCAUUUCUUUCCUCGAAACCCCCUGGUUCCUCUCCCUCACUCCUAAGACCUCUGAGCUUAUUCUGGGCGUAUUCAUCAUUCUCUGUUUCCUCUACCAGUUCUCUUUGUCCCACCAAUGCCGCCCCACACACCCAGCGGUCCUCUGGAAUGACAUGUCUCUCUUCGGGUGCCCCCUCUCCCUCCAAAUAUUCUGGUUUGCGUGAGAGAGCGUCCGCCCUAAUGUUCUCUGGGCCUGGCACGUAAUUAAUCUCAAAAUUAAAUUUGGAGAACUCCUGGGCCCAUCUCACUUGCCGUUGGUUGAGCACUCGUGCCGUCCUCCAAUACUCUAAGUUCUUGUGGUCAGUGCACACUUGCACCUUAUGUUGUGCGCCAAUUAGCAGGUGCCUCCAUCUCCGGAACGCCUCAUGAAUGGCUAGUAGUUCUCGGUCAUACACCGUGUAGUUCCUCUCGGAUUUGUUCAGCUUUCGCGAAAAAAAAGCACACGGUCUCCACUCUGACCCCUUCUUCCCUGGCUGCAGAAGCACCGCCCCAAUCGCUCUGUCUGAUGCGUCAGUUUCCACUCUCAUCGGUUUUUGUAAAUCCACAUGCAGGAGUUGUUGUUCCGAGGCGAAGGCCCUUUUUAGCUCCUCAAAUGCUCGCUCCGCCUCCUCAGUCCACACGAACUUCUUCUUACUGCUGAGACAGUCCGUAAUGGGCGCCGUCAGGUGGGCAAAGUUUCGGAUGAACUUACGAUAGAAGUUCCCAAAUCCUAGGAACCUCUGCACAUCCUUCUUUGUUUUGGGUGUUUUCCAUUCCAGCACCGCCUGGACCUUGCCGGGAUCCAUGGCCAAUCCCUUGUCAGACAGGCGAUACCCCAGGAAUUCCACCUCCUUGGUAUGAAACUGACACUUCUCCAGUUUCACCCACAGCUGGUUGGCUUGCAGCCUGCUCAACACUUCUCUGACGUCUCUCACAUGCUGCUCCUCAUUCUCAGAAUACACCAACACGUCGUCUAAAAGGGCCACACAAUUCUUGUAAAGCAAAGGCCCCAGGACGUGGUUCAUAAACGAUUGAAAUGUUGCGGAGCCUGCUUGUAGGCCGAAGGGCAUAACCAAAUAUUCAAAUGCCCCUAAAGGGGUGAACAUAGUGGUUUUCCAUUCAUCCCCCUUCCUUAUUCGUACCAGGUUGUACGCCCCCCUUAGGUCCAGCUUUGUGAAAAUCUUUCCCUUCCGCACCCUUGUCAAAAUGUCGUCAAUCCUGGGCAUAGGGAAGGCUACUGGUUCUGACACUGCAUUUAAGGCCCUGAAGUCACACACCAGCCUCGGCUUGUUCGUGUUUUUCUUAUCCACAAAAAACACUGGGCUGCCCCCUACCGCCCUGGACUCUCUGAUGAACCCUCUCUUCAGGUUCUUGUCAAUGAACUCUCUUAACUCCUGCAUCUCUCUGUCUGACAUGGCGUACAGCUUGCCUACAGGGAGCUGUGCUCCAGGAGUAAAUUGAUUUGACAGUCAAAGGGUCUAUGCGGGGUAGUUGGUCAGCUUCCCUUUCGCUGAAGACGUCACGGAGAUCUGCAUAUUGUCGUGGUACCUUCACGUUCUCUGUUACUUCAGUCCCUGCUAGGGUGGCUUGGACCCCUGCCAAACCCUUUCCCUCUUUGCAGUGUUCUAAGCAAUGUGCUGAACCAAAAGAAACCACUCUCUGAUGCCAGCCCACCAGCGGAUCAUGUAACGCUAGCCAGCUCAUCCCCAAUAUAAUGGGAGCUCCUCCCAAGGUGGCCACAUUAAAAGCUAUCAGUUCGGUGUGCCUUGCUACCUUCAUUAUCAUUGGGACGGUCUGCAAGCUGACUUCUCCUCCCAACAACUCCCUGCCAUCGAUCGUGGUCACCUGCAGGGGCUGCUUAAAGGGAUCGUCUGUAUCUGGUGUUCAGCUGCAAACUCUUUGCUCAUGAAAUUGCAGGAGCUGCCUGAGUCCAACAGCGCCUUUAUCUUUAGAGGGUGUCCGUUUGGCAGCUCUAGCGUCACUUCUAUCACUAGGGCGGGUUUAGGAGGUUCUGGCGUGGGCACUCUCACUGCUCUUUGGCCUGGCUGCUGUGCCCCGACAAUGGCAGCCAGGCGUUGGCUUUUACUUGCUCCGGUAUAUCUUCCUCUCUUCCAUCCACAGCUCCUACCAUCCCUUGCCAUUCUUUCCUCUGGGGGCAGACUCUGGCAAAGUGACCUGGCUGUUGGCAGAGAUAGCAUUUCCGGGCGCCUUUUCCCUCCUUUUUUCCCCCCUCACUGGGCUUUGAAACUGCGCGCGCGCGCGCUGUUCCGAUUUCCAUCGGCUCUGCCGGUGGGAAAGUUGGCUCUGGAAUGUCUGGAAUGCGGAACUCCUUCCAACGUUCCCCUUUCCCUUCCCGCCUCUCCAAUGCUCUCGCCUCCUGGCGCGCUCCUAUGGCUAGCGCUGAUUUGGUCAGCUGGUCCAUAGACUCCACCCUGGGCGCCCGGGAAAGUUCGUCUUUCACAGCCGAAGAAAGCCCUUCUUCAAAGAGCAUUUGAAUGGGUUCCGCCGAUAAGUCCCACCCCAAUCUGUGAACAAGCAUGGUGAACUCAGUCCAGUACUCACGGACAGAUCGGCUCCCCUGUUUGCAAGCCAUUAACUGUCUGCGCACCACUCCCUUUUCAAUAUCGCUGGAAAACAUCAGAUCCAUGGCGCGAAAGAACUUCAUUGUGUCCUUUAGGACGUCACUAUUCGCUGCCAUCAGGGGUCUAACCCAGUCUCUCGCCCCCUUUUCAAGAUGCUCAAUCACGAAAGCCACUCGUGAUUCCUCGUCAGGGAAUUCAUCAAACUGCAGAUUGAGGGCAUAUUGCAUUUCUGUCCGAAAGCCAUGAUAGUUUUGGGCUCCCCCAAACUUCUGCACCAAUCCCGGUACCGUCCUGGCCACCUGGGUGGCUUUCCCCUUUUGUCUGCAUCCUGCGCCCUCCUCUCCUCAAGCCUCGCCGUCUGCAUCGCUAGCUGGACCUCCAACACCCGGUACCUUUCUUCCAGGCUUGGACCCACUCCAGCUCCUGCUUCUCCGGUUCCGGCUGGGUUGCUCAUGAUGCCUUCUCCUGCACAAGCUGCUUUCAAAGACUGUCGGAAUGCUGUGAUGAGAUGAUGAGCUGCUUGUGCGUAAAAUCGUAUCCCUUCAGAGUUUGUUCAAGUCCACAAACCUCUGUCUGUGACGGAGCCCCUCAGACAUGGCCCCUCUAGUCACUAGCAGAUUCCGACAGUGGUUGCUUUCGUAAUCGCUUCCAACAUAAAAGCUCCUUAACGGAAACACGUCUUCUGGACUCUCUGCGUGACAGUUUCCGGCGAGGAGUGGGUGUUCUUACAGGAGGUCCUGAAACCUCCCCACUGUUUUCGCUGGAAGUGUCUCUGAGCCAUCCCUCCAGCUCAGCUCCUCUCCCCCUGCUGGUUCCCUCUUCAGCUGCUGCGUCUCUCCCAACCUGUGUGAGCCCUUUCACCUCCCUGCUGGUUCCCUCUUCAGCUGCUGCGUCUCUCCCAACCUGUGUGAGCCCUUUCACCUCCCUGCUGGUUCCCUCUUCAGCUGCUGCGUCUCUCCCAACCUGUGUGAGCCCUUUCACCUCCCUUCCGUCCGAUGGCAGUUCCCUGACACUACCUUUUACAGUACAGUCGUACCUUGGAUUCCAAAUGCCUUGCCAGUCAAAGGUGGUGAUUCCCAAACGCUGCAAACCCGGAAGUGAGUGUUGCAGUUUGCAAAUGUUCUUUGGAACCCAAAUGUCCGACGCAACUUCCACAGCUUCCAAUUGGCUGCAGGAGCACGGGAGGCCAUUGGGGAGAGAAGUAGCAGAAAUCCUGUUGCACAAGCAAAAGGCUUUGCACUAAUAGGAUGAUGUUGUUGUAUAUAACCCAUGAAUUCUGCUGGUUUUUAGAGGGGAAAAAUGGUGGUGGUACAUAUGUUUAAAUAUGAUAAAAUGGGUGUGUGUGUGUGUGUGUGUGUGUGUGUGUGUGAUGACCCUUGGUCAAUCCUUUGGUUGUUAUAUGUGUCUAAGAGGUGUUAUUUGGCAUUGUUACUUCAAUUACAUAUUUAUAUAUUGUUUCAAAGAGUGAUGCACGAUUUUUGAAUUAUUUCACCUUUAUCUGUAGAUUUUGAGACUGCAGUUCUCAUUUUCAUUCAGUCAGGAUUGUGGGUUAUAUUUGUUUACACAAAGUAGAUACACUGAAAUUUAUGGCCAUGACUACCUUAGGUCCAUUAAUUUCAAUGGGUCUACUCUGCGUAAAGGUUAGCUGCUUGUGUUUCUGCUUUGUGGUUCCUUGAGGGGAGCCUUUUGAUCUUGGUUUUCUGAAAUUUACUUCAGCACUUGACCUGCACACUGGGCUAAAUGUUAAAUUGUACCUAAUUUCUUGUAAAAUCCAAUAUGGGAAGAUAAUUAUUUUUUCUUUAUUUCAUACUCCCUGAGAGGCAUAUUUCCCAAAAAAGAUAACUACAUUGCUCAAAUUAUUCUGUUUGCCAACCACUAUUAAUCUCUUUCACCAAACAACUCUUAUUUAAGUUUGAAGAGCUGGAAGCAUACUAAAUCUCUUGUUGUAAUUAAUAACAGCAUAAGCACAACUUAUGCAAGUUUUGUACAUGUAGCCAAUUUCAUUUUAGAAGAUAUUCUUCUAAAGAUGCUCAUCCUUUCUCACAGCUUCAGGGCACACAGCUGUGCUAGAAUGGCUCAGAGAUUAAGAUCUAGAACUCACUGGAUACACUGCGCACAAUCCCAUCAAUUUGAUAAUAGUUUCUUCCUGAGCAAUACUUGGCUACUUACACAACACUUGCCCUCUCUGUGCAUUGCAGGUCACUUUUCCCAUGGGGCCUCCACAAACUGUACACCUUAUACGUUUUGUGAUGUACAGAUCUCAUGGUUGAAGCCUAUACACAUUUGCAAUGUAUAUUUGGGGCUCUAUGUAAAUGUGAUGUUUUAACAUGUGGACAUUGUGGGGUGGAGUGGCUAUCCCAGCAGAGAGCUGCCACAGAAGUUCUGGGGGAGUUUGUUUUGUCCCUAAGGAGCCCUGACGAUUAGGUCCAGUCGUGACCGACUCUGAGGUUGCGGUGCUCAUCUUGCUCUAUGGGCCAAGGGAGCCGGCGUACAGCUUCCGGGUCAUGUGGCCAGCAUGACUAAGCCGCUUCUGGCGAACCAGAGCAGCGCACGGAAACGCCAUUUACCUUCCUGCCAGAGUGGUACCUAUUUAUCUACUUGCACUUUGAUGUGCUUUCGAACUGCUAGGUGGGCAGGAGCAGUGACCGAGCAACGGGAGCUCACCCCGUCAUGGGGAUUCGAACCGCCGACCUUCUGAUCGGCAAGUCCUAGGCUCUGUGGUUUAACCCACAGCGCCACCCGCGUCCCAAGUUGUUUUGUCCCUAGGGUUUGACAAAUAUGCCUAGAUGCCAGACCACAAGAGAUGUAGCCUGUUACAAAAUGGUCUGGGCUGAGGUAGGAUGAAGACUGCCCCAGACUGCAACUUGCUUUGGUCUGAUUCAUAGCAGGAUAUGGGUUAGUGGAGCCAGAAAUUUUAAGUGGGCAGAGUGAAGCUCUGCAAAGCAUGCUCAGAAGGCUUCUAAUUUGGAGCUGCCAGUGCAUGAGGUUGGCUGGUUUUCUUUUUUGUGUACCUCUUGGUUCAGCUCAGAAUUGAGAAAAGCAUUUUAAAUCCUUUGCCCUAGAGGAGGUGACUUACCAAGGUGUGCUGGCUUGGUUACUGCAUUUUUAUGUAAAUCUUCCUGCAGGCAGCUGCUUCUGCUGUCCUGGGGUCUGCUGGGACAUAACAAGAACCAAAGAAGAGCCCUGUUGAAUCAGACUAGAGGACAAUCCAGUGCAGCAUCCUUUCUCCCACCAUGGCUCAACAGGUGCCUAUGGGAACCCACAAGCAGGACAUGAGCAAAGUAGCACCUCUGGCUGUUGUUUUCCGUGUGUGGCAAGAAACAAUAGUGACUUAUCUCAAAGAGCUUAGAUUUCGGCUAUCUCCAGGAUCAGAGGCAGCUUGUCUCCGAAUACCAGCUGAUGAAGGAGAUCUCAAAGGAGUUGUGCCACACAGGGGCAGGAGGAUAAGACUUACAGCAAGGUUUAAAUAUGUGUUCUAUUGUAAACACACACACCACAAAACCUGUGCCUUUUAAAAGCAUGUGCUGUGCCUACUUAUUAUUUCGCUGAUAGCAACUAUAGCAAUAGAAUCAAUACAAGUCAAAGCAGUUCAUCAGCAAAUACACACUGAAAGGGAGUGGAGAAAAAUCUACCCCUCUUACCACCUUGAUUGUGAUUUGACUGGGUGUUCAAUGAAGUUGUGAGAUAAUUAAGCUACGUUAAGCGGUCUUGAACGUGCACACUAGUGUUUCUUUACUUUUUUAUUACAUUUAUAUCUCACCUUUCCUCCAAGGCUGCUCAAGGUGGCAUACACAGUUCUCCCCCUGCACAUGUUAUCCUCAUAAUAGCCCUGUAAGGUAGUUUAGGCUGAGAGACAGUGCCUGGCCCAAAGUGAGCUUCAUGGCUGAGUAGGGAUUUGAACCCCGGUUUCCCCAGUUCUAGCCCAGUGUUCUUAACAACUGCACUGCCACCGGCUGAAUCAAAACAUGCUUGAUAAAAGCUGUUCUAGUUUUUUGCAGCAAGUAACCACUAUUUUACAGAGACGUUGCUGUGUCGCAGUUUUCCAGAUUCACUUUGUGUGUGGUGUUUGCUACAGGUGUUGGGGGUCGAUUUUAUCGGGGGGGAAGGGAGACAGCAGUCCCCUCCCUGUCAAGCAAGAGAAGCUUUGCAGGCAUUGCAAAUGAGCUGACAUUCUUCUACCAAUUCACUUUGACUUGUUAGCAGGUGCAACGGUGAGGAAUGGACAAAUCACUUUGCUGAAGUGGGAAAUGGAACAGCAGUACACCAUUUAAUCCCAGCUGUGGUGAAGGCAAGCUUUGUCAGCAUCUCCUGCAUAAAGCUCUAAGGUGGGAAUCAAAUCCAAGACCAAGUGGCAACUUUCUCUCUCAUGAGCAAGAACCUAGGUAAAGGUAAAGGGACCCCUGACCAUUAGGUCCAGUCGUGGCUGACUCUGGGGUUGCGGCGCUCAUCUCGCUUUAUUGGCCGAGGGAGCCAGCAUACAUCUUUCCGGGUCAUGUGGCCAGCAUGACUAAGCCACUUCUGGCGAACCAGAGCAGUGCACGGAAACACCGUUUACCUUCCCUCUGGAGCAGUACCUAUUUAUCUACUUGCACUUUGACGUGAUUUCAAACUGCUAGGUUGGCAGGAGCAGGGACCGAGCAAUGGGAGCUCACCCCGUCGCGGGGAUUCAAACCGCCAACCUUCUGAUCGGCAAGUCCUAGACUCUGUGGUUUAACCCACAGCGCCACCCGCGUCCCAAGACCUAGCAAGAACCUAGGUGCACUGAAUGAGCCCUGGCAGAGCAGCGGUGGGCUUUGGUGUCUCAAAUUUCAACGGUGCCCUGUGGAACACCAAAAUUUGGUGCCCCCACCUCUCGCCUUCCAUUUCUCAUUACAGUUGUGAGGCCCCUGAGGCCCCGUGCGCAGUGCAGCUGAACUGGUCACGCUCCCCUAAAUCUGCCUCUGGACAGAGGAUCCUCAGUGAUCCGUAGCAGAUUGUAGAUGGCUGCAGUUUCAGUGCCCUAUCAUGCCAACAUGAUUUGAGAAGAAGGUGGUUCAGAAAGAGCUGCUGCUUUGCCUUUAGGCUUUCUGAAGCUUUAAGAAGCAUCUAUGCCUUUUCUAAUUCCAGUGCUCAGAUUAAUGUCCUCAUCCUCAGGCCCUUGCACACAGCGGUAGGCUGUCUGUACAGAAGAGCACGCAAAGAUCUCUGGGUUCUUACGCGUGGUACAAAUUCAUGCUGGGUUGGGUAGGCCCAGGAGGUACAGCCCAUUUUGAAAGUUCAAAAAGUCUCAGAAACCUGAUUGUUUUCAGAACCUCUCCAGGUCAUCAAGACCGCCAGGUUAAACCCUGUUGCUUAGCCUUCUAGUGCCAUCUACUGGUGAUGCCUAGAGAAAUCAAAGAAGUUCAUGUCAGCAACUGCCAUACACUCUCAAGGCCACUUUGCAUGCUAUAUUUUUAUGACUAAUACCACAUUGCAAAAUAUUGCAAUGGAAGGUUUGAUACACGCUGCUACUCAACAACAACAUUAUGGGAGGUGGUUCAGCUGUGGCCAUGUCUGUCUCACAGAGUACAACACACUUUUUUGUGUGUAUUUCAUUCAUAUAUCACACUUAUCUUCCAAUGAAUAUAACUAGUCACAAUAGUCCUGUAUCAGGAAAAUGUGGUGUUGGGAGGAACAUUCAAAUAAAUGCUUCAGGAGCAAAGCUUUCUGUUAUCCAGAAUGUGUGUAAUUCUGAAAUGUCCCAUGAACUGUAAGGGCUGGUUCACAUAACACAUUUUCCAGAUACAGUACAGACUUUCCCCUAGAAAAAUAACCUUCCUUAUGCAUUCAGUGAGAAACUGCAGCUACAUGUUGCAGUCUGUAGUUCUGAGUUCAAGAUUCCAGCCAUUCUGUUCUUCUAGGCUUGCUAUACGUCAGGAAAAUUCCUGACGUCCUGGUUUUUGGGUGUAAAAAUGGGGUCAGGGGAAUUUUGCCAAAUUUUUGUCAGGAAUUUUACUUUUGAAAUAUGGCAACCCUAGUAUCUUCCCUUACAACAGGCUGCAUUGAGUAUAAUCAGUACUCACUGAACUAUUUUAGAAGGCCCAACUUCCAAAGAGGAUUUUUAAAAUAAAUGCUUUUUGUACUUCUGCAAAACCUUCCGUUUUCCCCAAGCCUGUUGAUACUUCAACCUUGUUUAUAGGUCAUGCUGUUUGAUCUACAUUCUCAAUGGCAAUCACAGCCUAAAGGAAAUGCAAAUCUCCAUAUCCGAUUUUGCAAGCCAUGAGUUGGUUGGGAAGUGAUUCAUGUGCCCCUGUCUCAAUAAAAUCUGGGGAGAUGUCAUUGGAGUACAUGUGCAUUCUGUACGUGGCCUCCUUUGUAAUGUUUUGCUUUAAAAUCUUUAAGAUAAUAUUUUAGUUUCCUGUUAGUUAUGCUGCUUUGAAUAUAUCCUUUAUAUUUGACUUUCUUCUUUAAUGUUUUAUUCUAGAUUGUUUUAGAAUAAUAUUUGCAAGGACCCCAAGGAUCAUCUAGUCCAACUCCCGGAAAUACAAGAAUUCUGCCCUCUGUUUAAUGUUGUACUGUAAUGUAGCUUAGGAAACUGCUUUGAGAUUUUUUUCUUAAAAAUAUAAAGCAGUAUAGAAAUGUAAUAAACAAACAAACAAUUUAUCAGAAAAGCUGGUAUACUAGUAAGACACAAGGCGUUAAUCAAUAUGAAGCAUCUCUUCUGAAUCUUUAGUAUCUUAUGACUUGGUCGCUGUAUGAACCCAGACUAUAAAUGACAAAGCAUUCUUCCCCCUCUCGUCUUAGAUCAAAGGAAAAAAAUAUUUCAUAACACCAGCUAUUCCAAGUGUUCUGUUGUGCAGAAUGGACCAAAACAAGGAAGACAGACAACAGGCUCAUACAAACAACUGUGACUUCAAGGUUCCAGAGCUAAAGAGCACAGGUGCAGACAGCAUGCAAAUCUGAAGGAUGUUAUCAGCUUCCUGUCAGUCAGAAAGUAACUCAUUUACCAGAGAAAGAACAUGUCCAGAGUCACAGGAAAAAGAUCUUCUAGCAGGUAUAGAUGAUAUACUGUUAAGACCUGCCGAUUUAUGACUGGGUUUGUGUUCAUAUUAGCAAACAGCUUUGCUGGGGCUGGACUAUGAAGCUUCAUUUUCUCUCAUGCCUUGCUACGGUGAUAGUAUGCAACAUCAAAAGACAGGCCUUCCAAAUAAUCCAAGUCAUUAUUGCCUUAAUAUCAUGAAAGGCUUCGUGUUUUCUUUAAUGGUAAAAGUGUUUGAGGCUUUCAGUAUGGGAGGUAUAUGGAUAUACAGGGAAUCAAACAAGCUGAAAUCCUAAUAGGCACACUUAAUUGGAAGCUAAAUAUGCAGAGGACCAAGUUUUGCAUGGUUUUAAGUAACAGAGGCAGUUGAGUUCAGCAGCAAUAUAGGUGCACUUGCUCAAGUCCUGCGGCUCCUGGGUAGCAGCCAGUUAUUGGCACCAGGAAUAAAACCAGGCUCCACCAGGCCUUGAAAUAGCCAUGGGCUGCACCACAGCCUACAAUGCUCCCCCAGUUAUUUGAGGACAGUAGAUAUGUUUCUCAUCAUUACAAUUUCCCACCAUCAAUAAAACAUUACAAUGAAAACUAAACAUCGAUUUCCCUCACCCCCUUCCAUGGUUUCCUUGUCCCGGGUUCAUUCUCCAGCAUCUCCAAAAAUGGGAUUGGAGCUGCUCUGUAGGCCUGUAUGUGUAUAUAGAUAGCUUGAUGAUCCAGGUUUUUAAAAAGCAGCUGCCGGGGGAUCAGAAUCAGUUCCAGUAUAGUGGUACCUCGGGUUACAUACGCUUCAGGUUACAGACUCCGCUAACCCAGAAAUAGUGCUUCAGGUUAAGAACUUUGCUUCAGGGUGAGAACAGAAAUCGUGCAGCGGCAGCAGGAGGCCCCCUUAGCUAAAGUGGUGCUUCAGGUUAAGAACAGUUUCAGGUUAAGAGCGGACCUCCGGAACGAAUUAAGUACUUAAUCCAAGGUACCACUGUAUGCAGAAGGUUAACCCUUUGCUCUCAUACUGUAGUCCUAAUGAACUUGCACCUCCCCCAGCUGCUUUUUAUCCAGGAAGAAAGAUUCCCAUUGGAUCAAUCUGGGGGCAAAUAACAGGUGGGGGCAGGACAUCAGCAUGGGAGGAAAUAGUUUUAAAACCCUCUCCAUACAGCACAGUCACAAUCCUGAACACUACAACCAGCCCACAGAUGGUUGCUAUUAAAAAACAACAGC